This is a long non-coding RNA of Brassica napus (rape), 4129 nucleotides long. RefSeq lists it as uncharacterized. The record is from RefSeq and is a predicted model, not a curated record. The transcript has 3 exons. NCBI's taxonomy places the organism in Eukaryota, Viridiplantae, Streptophyta, Magnoliopsida, Brassicales, Brassicaceae.
CGUCUAGACGACGUACAAUAUCUCAGAAGACUCAGAAGACUCAGAAGACUUUCCGGGGCUAUAUUCGUAAAAAUGAAUUCUGUUUUUUUUUGUUUGGUCACAAGGAGCUGGCUGUAAUUUCACAAGGCUUUUAGGUUAGUUUUGCAUUUGAUUCAAGUUUGAAUAUAAUUUUGCAUUUAAAAUCAAGUUUUGAGUCAUAUUUGGUAAAUUCCCCUUCAAAAUAACCUAUAAUUUUGCGAGUUUAGACAUAAUUUUUAAUGAAAUACUGUGAUACCAUUUAUAAUUAUAAGAAAAUAACUAUAAUAAUUAUAAAUGAGAUAUAUAAUAUUAUUAUAACAAAAGUUGGAUAGAUAAGUAACAUAAGAAAAUAUAGAUAAGUUUCACAUAACUUAUUUGUUUAUAUACAUUUUUUUUGUCAUAAACUGAACAAACUCAAUUAAUACUCCGUAAACAAAACCUGGAGUUCUGCAUCUAUAUGUAUGACAAAUGAGAGUUGUUUCCUGGCAAUGCGUGUGAGAUUGUCUGCCUUCUUGUGCUGCGUUCGUGGUAUAUGAAUAAGCUCAGGAUGAGUGAAGCUUCUUCUCAAGAGCUUGAUGUCUUCUAGAUAACUUUCAAAGGCUGGUCAUUCCUCUGGUUUCGAAACCAUCUUCACCAAUUGAGAGCGAUCCGUUGCAAUAGUAACAUGAUACUGCCGUAAAUUCGUUUAUAUACGUUAAAACAGAGAAACAACAAACAAAUUAAAACAAACUGCUAAAAAUAGUCAUCAUUAACUUUACUAUAUAAAUCACCAAGAAUAACACAAUAUUACCACACAAUCAUCUUUUCACGAUCAAAACCAUACUAAACUGUAAUACUCAUUUCAUACUUGUUCUAUUAAAAUACAUUAUGACGACUCAAACUUUGAAAAAAUCAUGCACUAUUUUCAUGAUUGUAGUUAUAUGUACAAUGAUGCUUUCAACACAAAAUUCUCUUUCAACCAGCGUUGAAAAAUGUGUCAAACACUGCAUCCCGAAUCAGUGUAUGAAAGUAGCCAAAAAGAUGAUCUGACUAUCUGUUAAGAAGCUUGCAAAAGGUUUUGCAACAAACAAAUACCAAGUCAUGAAUAAUAUAUUGUUCCUACGGUUGGUUAUUUCAUCUGCAACUAUUUCUUGAAUUUUUUUUCAUAAAUACGUUCAAAUUUGUAAAUUACCACUGUUUUCUUAUUCUUACAUAUCUAUAUAUAUAAAGUAUGGUUUGCUCUUUUCUGGAGCAUGCCACCUAUGAUUCUACGUCAUAAAAUCGUGCUCCGUGGUGACGACACGUGUCCCUGUUUGAGUUUUUGUUUAGAUACGAGAUGGGCCUUGCUGUUGGGGUUUUGUCUUAGGUUAUUUAGGUUUUAAUGUACAAAAGCCCAGCCCGUUUGUGAGCUAAUCUUCUCACGACAGCUACCAGUUAGGGUUCACCUCUUCUCCGAUAUCUGGAAAGCUUCAACAAUAAUGGUGACUUCUGAUGGUUUUUUUUUUUGCGGUAGAUCUUCAUGGAGAAUCUCUCAUCGAGCUCAGUUCGUUUCGUGUAUACUGGGAUUCUUCUCUUCCGAACCAUUACAGAAUGCAUUGAAUCAUUACCAUUAACGAACGUCUUAACUCUUCGAUCCACUCUUCCUCAUUCAAUGCAUCUGCACUCUCUUCCAAGAGAUGCAUCUGCAACUAUAAAAAGUUAAUUCUUCGUACCGUAAACAUCAUCCUAAAAAAAUAUCUCUUUGAGAUCUUAUAAGGUUUUCAAUCUAAGAAAGUUUAGAUUUUUAUUGGUUUCUUGCUAUUCUCCUUCAGUUAAUUUGUUUGUUUCUAAUUUACAUUCUUAUGUUCUUUGAGUUACUGUUGAUUUCUUAUAACUUGAUCGUUUAUGAUUUUGCAGAAUCUUCCAACUCAUAUGCCAAAAGAUACAGUUUUGGAUGUUCUCAAAAUCUUAGUUGGUAAGGAAUCCAUCACCUAACACAGUCUUUUUGAUUUCUAUAGGCUCUUCUUAUAUGCUGUUUCAUAAAAGUAAAUGUUCCUUUUUCGCUGGGGAUCUAAAAAGACAUCCGAUUCUCAUACACUGCAAAGCAAGAAAUGUAAUCUACAGACAUCAAUUUUUUAUCGUCUUCUUUUUUUAAGAGAAGUUAAUAAAGGAUAUUUUUUUGUGGUCUUUUAUGAGAUUAGUUCUCUGCAAGACAUUAAUGGUUUGAUGGUUAUGACGAGAACUCAAUAUGAAUGCGGCAUAGGAAAAGUUGUCUGGUACGGUGCUUAAAAAAAGUUCAGAGCUGGGUUUUAUUAUCGGUGAAAUUGUUAUAAACAUGGUUGUUGGAGGUGAAGUAACCACUCUCAAAGGCCUUGAAGAAAUCAGCGGCAUUAUCAUCACAGAGAUGCUAAUCAAUGUUUCUGAGAACUUACAAAAAUUUAAGGACUCCUAUGAUCUGAAGAAUACCAUCAAAAUUUUGUUUGAUGUCUCUUGAGCUUCAAAUUAUAUGUUACCUGACCUUCUCUGUAGAAUCAAUUGUUUGUGUUAAACUACAGAAUAUGUCUCCCUGUCUCUCUGCUGCAUUUAGCCAUUAAGUUGAUCACUAUGGUCUACAAGUAUGCGUGUUUUAAAUUGGAAGUGGAGACGAAGGGAAUCAAAUUCACGGAGACAUUUGAUAUCAUGCUCUCAUUCCUAAUCAUCUAAGCAAAUUUAUAAAGAACAUUGUACUUCUCUCUCAAAACCUUUCUAAACACCAAAGUGAGAUUUUAAAUAAUGUACUAACUGUUUUUAUUCUUUUCACUUAUAAAAGAAAAUAAUCAGAAGAUAACGUAAAACAAACAAAUGCAUGAGCUAUUUGUCUUUGUUAAACGUAUACAAAAUUCUCAAUAUUAACUUCAAGACAUUUAAUAGUCUGUUAACUUUAUUGGUAAAAUGAUAGUGAUUCGUUGUGACUUUUCUAUUUCACAAAGGAUAAAACAAUUGUUGUGAAAUAUUUUUUGUUUAUAGUAUAAAACAAUUAUUAUUGCAAUUAAUAUUUUCUACUUCAUCAAAUUCAAGCCAAGGAAAAAAUGAAUGAAAUAAUCAAAGGUUAUCCUUUUCCUGACCAAAUUCAAAUUUAGAUAAAUUAAAUAUUUAAUAGAAAACCAAAAAGAAAAAAAAUAACACACCAUCAAAAAUAAUUUUGUAAACAAUUAUCCAAAAUAGUAAAUAUAAAAUAAAUAGAAUUACAAUUUAGUGAAAUACACAAUAUAACAAAAUACAUAAUAUAGCACAAAUAUGUAAUUUAACAAAAAUAUAAAGGUUUACCUAACAAAAAUAUUUUUCAAAAACACACACAAUGGAUUAGUUCAAGCAUCCGAUGAACCGCCAUAAGCCUCAGUAACAGCAGGUGAAUACAUAUGUUUUCCUGUUUAAACAGUGGAAGCCGUGGCAACUACAUGACAAACGUUUAUGUUAAUCUAAGAGACACUGCGAGUUGUUUACUUCUACUAAACUGGUACACAUUCUAUUUUCAGAAAGUAAUUAUCCAAUAUUGACAUCGUACUUAUACAAAAUAAAUACCAUAAAAAAAACAAUUUUAUCAAAACAGAUCUUAGCUAAGUGAGAUGCAGACCCGUUUCAAUAAACAAAAGGAAAAGACGACAUAUUGCUCGGAGCAUAACCUCCCCUAUAAAAUUCCCCACCCACUAAACAUUUGUUUACUAUUUUAAAUAUACGUAGUUUUAUUAUUUUAAUAUUUAAUUAGUUACGCCACAUAUCUACUAAAAGAAAAGAUGAAAAGAGUAAACUAAGAUCUUUUAUUAGAAUGAUUAUUCUUUACUUUAGUUUAUAAAAUUAAAUACUAAUAUCAUAUUAUAAAUUAUGCAACUUUGGUCCAAAGUAGGCCUAAAUUUGAAUUUUGUUUUUCUCAAUUUAUGUAUUUCAUUAGUUUAUGAACUUUAAAGUGAUUACUAAGUUUUUAUAAUUCGUAGAAUCCCCAAAACAUUAACUAAAAUAAUCAAAAUAUGAAAUUACAAUAUUAAUAACCAUAUAUAUAUAACCAUAUUUAACUAACUAUAACAAAUUUAAACCAAAUUAGAAGCUGAAAAAUAAAAACAUGCCUAAAUUGAAUAUUUUACAAAAUCAAAUAGUUAAAAUACCCAAAAAAUUUAAU